Molecule: ribosomal RNA, 979 nt
Filed under: Pseudomonas aeruginosa
Lineage: Bacteria; Pseudomonadati; Pseudomonadota; Gammaproteobacteria; Pseudomonadales; Pseudomonadaceae
Description: bacterial SSU rRNA
Rfam family: Bacterial small subunit ribosomal RNA
Source: RNAcentral
UGCAAGUCGAGCGGAUGAAGGGAGCUUGCUCCUGGAUUCAGCGGCGGACGGGUGAGUAAUGCCUAGGAAUCUGCCUGGUAGUGGGGGAUAACGUCCGGAAACGGGCGCUAAUACCGCAUACGUCCUGAGGGAGAAAGUGGGGGAUCUUCGGACCUCACGCUAUCAGAUGAGCCUAGGUCGGAUUAGCUAGUUGGUGGGGUAAAGGCCUACCAAGGCGACGAUCCGUAACUGGUCUGAGAGGAUGAUCAGUCACACUGGAACUGAGACACGGUCCAGACUCCUACGGGAGGCAGCAGUGGGGAAUAUUGGACAAUGGGCGAAAGCCUGAUCCAGCCAUGCCGCGUGUGUGAAGAAGGUCUUCGGAUUGUAAAGCACUUUAAGUUGGGAGGAAGGGCAGUAAGUUAAUACCUUGCUGUUUUGACGUUACCAACAGAAUAAGCACCGGCUAACUUCGUGCCAGCAGCCGCGGUAAUACGAAGGGUGCAAGCGUUAAUCGGAAUUACUGGGCGUAAAGCGCGCGUAGGUGGUUCAGCAAGUUGGAUGUGAAAUCCCCGGGCUCAACCUGGGAACUGCAUCCAAAACUACUGAGCUAGAGUACGGUAGAGGGUGGUGGAAUUUCCUGUGUAGCGGUGAAAUGCGUAGAUAUAGGAAGGAACACCAGUGGCGAAGGCGACCACCUGGACUGAUACUGACACUGAGGUGCGAAAGCGUGGGGAGCAAACAGGAUUAGAUACCCUGGUAGUCCACGCCGUAAACGAUGUCGACUAGCCGUUGGGAUCCUUGAGAUCUUAGUGGCGCAGCUAACGCGAUAAGUCGACCGCCUGGGGGAGUACGGCCGCAAGGUUAAGACUCAAAUGAAUUGACGGGGGCCCGCACAAGCGGUGGAGCAUGUGGUUUAAUUCAAAGCAACGCGAAGAACCUUACCUGGCCUUGACUGCUGAGAAUUUCCGAAGAUGGAUUGGGGCCUCGGGAACUCGAA